GCUUGGGAAUAUGCCUUGAGGUGGGGGACAACAGUUGGAAACGACUGCUAAUACCGCAUAAUGUCUACGGACCAAAGGAGGGGAUCUUCGGACCUUUCGCCUUUAGAUUAGCCCAAGUGAGAUUAGCUAGUAGGUGAGGUAAUGGCCCACCAAGGCGACGAUCCGUAGCUGGUUUGAGAGGAUGAUCAGCCACACUGGAACUGAGACACGGCCCAGACUCCUACGGGAGGCAGCAGUGGGGAAUAUUGCACAAUGGGCGAAAGCCUGAUGCAGCCAUGCCGCGUGUGUGAAGAAGGCCCU
This 300-nucleotide ribosomal RNA is filed under the name uncultured Colwelliaceae bacterium. Its description in RNAcentral is "bacterial SSU rRNA". It matches the Rfam family "Bacterial small subunit ribosomal RNA", at positions 115 to 418 of the family's 1533-position model. Lineage: Bacteria; Pseudomonadati; Pseudomonadota; Gammaproteobacteria; Alteromonadales; Colwelliaceae. The record is from RNAcentral.